RNAcentral lists this transfer RNA (54 nucleotides) under Baylisascaris ailuri (red panda roundworm). RNAcentral's name for it is "tRNA-His". The record is from RNAcentral. Lineage: Eukaryota; Metazoa; Nematoda; Chromadorea; Rhabditida; Ascarididae.
AGCUUUGUAGUUUAUGUUAAAAUGUCUGCUUGUGGUGCGGGUGAAGGAGGGCUU